AAUCAACGCUGGCGGCGUGCCUCAGACAUGCAAGUCGAACGAUUAAAGCUCUCUUCGGAGAGUGUAUAGAGUGGCGCACGGGUGAGUAACACGUAAGUAAUCUACCUUUGAGUGGGGAAUAACCCGGGGAAACCCGAGCUAAUACCGCAUAAUGCAGCGGCACCGCAAGGUGACAGUUGUUAAAGGAGCAAUCCGCUUAAAGAGGAGCUUGCGGCAGAUUAGCUAGNGGUAAGGUAAUGGCUUACCAAGGCUUCGAUCUGUAUCCGGCCUGAGAGGGCGGUCGGACACACUGACACUGAAUAACGGGUCAGACUCCUACGGGAGGCAGCAGUCGGGAAUUUUGGGCAAUGGGCGAAAGCCUGACCCAGCAACGCCGCGUGAAGGAUGAAGUAUUUCGGUAUGUAAACUUCGAAAGAAUGGGAAGAAUCAAUGACGGUACCAUUUAUAA
RNAcentral lists this ribosomal RNA (448 nucleotides) under uncultured bacterium. Its description in RNAcentral is "bacterial SSU rRNA". It matches the Rfam family "Bacterial small subunit ribosomal RNA", at positions 32 to 489 of the family's 1533-position model. The record is from RNAcentral.